Molecule: ribosomal RNA, 429 nt
Filed under: Actinomycetes bacterium
Lineage: Bacteria; Bacillati; Actinomycetota; Actinomycetes
Description: Actinobacteria bacterium partial 16S ribosomal RNA
Rfam family: Bacterial small subunit ribosomal RNA
Source: RNAcentral
UAGGGAAUCUUCCGCAAUGGGCGAAAGCCUGACGGAGCAACGCCGCGUGAGUGAUGAAGGUCUUCGGAUCGUAAAACUCUGUUAUUAGGGAAGAACAAAUGUGUAAGUAACUAUGCACGUCUUGACGGUACCUAAUCAGAAAGCCACGGCUAACUACGUGCCAGCAGCCGCGGUAAUACGUAGGUGGCAAGCGUUAUCCGGAAUUAUUGGGCGUAAAGCGCGCGUAGGCGGUUUUUUAAGUCUGAUGUGAAAGCCCACGGCUCAACCGUGGAGGGUCAUUGGAAACUGGAAAACUUGAGUGCAGAAGAGGAAAGUGGAAUUCCAUGUGUAGCAGUGAAAUGCGCAGAGAUAUGGAGGAACACCAGUGGCGAAGGCGACUUUCUGGUCUGUAACUGACGCUGAUGUGCGAAAGCGUGUGGAUCAAACAGG